Acanthosepion pharaonis is the source of this 113-nucleotide non-coding RNA. The record is from the annotation of a GenBank genome assembly. Lineage: Eukaryota; Metazoa; Mollusca; Cephalopoda; Sepiida; Sepiidae.
UUAUGGCCAUAUCACAUUGAAACACCAAUUCUCAUAUGAUCAUUGAAGUUAAACAACAUCAAGCCUGGUCAGUACCUAAAUGGGUGACUACUUGGGAAAUACCAGGUGAUGUA